AGAACGAACGCUGGCGGCAUGCCUAACACAUGCAAGUCGAACGCGUGUAGCGAUACACGAGUGGCGGACGGGUGAGUAACGCGUGGGAACCUGCCCUGGAGUGUGGGGAUAACCGAGGGAAACUUCGGCUAAUACCGCAUACGACCUGAGGGUGAAAGAUUUAUCGCUCUAGGAGGGGCCCGCGUCGGAUUAGCUAGUUGGUGGGGUAAAGGCCUACCAAGGCAGUGAUCCGUAGCUGGUCUGAGAGGAUGAUCAGCCACACUGGGACUGAGACACGGCCCAGACUCCUACGGGAGGCAGCAGUGGGGAAUAUUGGACAAUGGGGGCAACCCUGAUCCAGCAAUGCCGCGUGAGUGAUGAAGGCCUUAGGGUUGUAAAGCUCUUUCGCGCGCGACGAUGAUGACGGUAGCGCGAGAAGAGCCCCGGCUAACUCGCGCCAGCAGCCGC
RNAcentral lists this ribosomal RNA (447 nucleotides) under uncultured bacterium. Its description in RNAcentral is "SSU rRNA". It matches the Rfam family "Bacterial small subunit ribosomal RNA", at positions 26 to 518 of the family's 1533-position model. The record is from RNAcentral.